Molecule: ribosomal RNA, 465 nt
Filed under: Vreelandella stevensii
Lineage: Bacteria; Pseudomonadati; Pseudomonadota; Gammaproteobacteria; Oceanospirillales; Halomonadaceae
Description: partial 16S ribosomal RNA
Rfam family: Bacterial small subunit ribosomal RNA
Source: RNAcentral
CCUACGGAGGGCAGCAGUGGGGAAUAUUGGACAAUGGGGGCAACCCUGAUCCAGCCAUGCCGCGUGUGUGAAGAAGGCCCUCGGGUUGUAAAGCACUUUCAGUGAGGAAGAACGCCUGGUGGUUAAUACCCAUCAGGAAAGACAUCACUCACAGAAGAAGCACCGGCUAACUCCGUGCCAGCAGCCGCGGUAAUACGGAGGGUGCGAGCGUUAAUCGGAAUUACUGGGCGUAAAGCGCGCGUAGGUGGCUUGAUAAGCCGGUUGUGAAAGCCCCGGGCUCAACCUGGGAACGGCAUCCGGAACUGUCAAGCUAGAGUGCAGGAGAGGAAGGUAGAAUUCCCGGUGUAGCGGUGAAAUGCGUAGAGAUCGGGAGGAAUACCAGUGGCGAAGGCGGCCUUCUGGACUGACACUGACACUGAGGUGCGAAAGCGUGGGUAGCAAACAGGAUUAGAUACCCCGGUAGUC